AAUAAACACCCACACAACUAUAUUCACCAAGUGUUUAGUUCUGGUUCGAUGAUCAAGAUGAUUUUCCUUUUUUUUGAAUUCUCACUUACUACAGGGAUACGGUCGAAAAACUAUUGUUGGUGAUGGCCAUUUAUGAACUUUCUUCAAACUGGCUUACUGACUGACCUUUGUCAAUGAUAAGCAGAAAUGAUUUGAAAUAUUGUAAUUCAUUUUGUUUUGUUUUUUUCUUCGUUUUCAACAUGUGUGUUUUAUAAGUGGAAUCGUUGUUUGCUAUGAAUGAAUCACGAAUGUGUUUUGUGAAAGCGGAUCUUUUCUUCACUGAAAAUGAAUCUAAUGAAUGAAUGAAUCUCUACUCCACAAUGAAUUUGUAUUCAUUCAUUUAAAUGACGAUUCGAGUGUGUGUUGUAACAAAGUAACCGAGAAAAAAGAAUGCCGACCAAUGAUGAUAACAACAACAAUAACCGAAGAAAGAAAUCAAAGAAUCAAACCGAACAACGAAUAAAGAAUUGUUAAAAUGAACGAUUGUGAAAGAAAAAAAAUAGCCAACUGAUGAAAUAUUGGCAUCAUUGUCUGUAUUGUAUUUUGGGUGUUUUUUUCCAUCAAUCCAGCCCGAUGAUAGAAUCGAAUUGAAUCAAUCAAUCAUUUUUUCUCUCGAUAGAACGUGUGUCAAUGACUUUCACUUUGUUCUUUCUUUAUUCAUUGUUCUAUUGUGAUUAUAGAUUCAAGGAACGAAAGAGAAUCAAAUCAUGGCCAUUCAACACCGCCAAUUCAUUUUAACAGACGAUAUAUUUUCAUUGAUGAUGAUAAUUAUUAUUGAUUGCCACAACAACUCUUUCUCAAUCGAUUGAUUACAAUUCGAUGAAAUCAUCACUUUCAUUAAUAUUACAUCAUACACACGUAUAUGAUGGAUUUUAGAAAUACGUUCGCCAAAAAACGUCGAUAUUUCAAGAUGAUGAUAAAAUGAGUCAUUUUUUUCUCGAAUCAAAAAUUAUUUCUUCCUCGACGACAACGAUUACUACACCAAAAAUAUAAACAAAAUGUAAACCCAAUCUACCACCUGCCAUUUGCUGGACGAACGAAUGAAAAAAAUCCAAUGUAGCCAUCCAAUCUACUCAGAUAAAUUGAUCAUGAUGAUGAUGGAAUGAAGAGAAUAACAAAAUUGAUUACAAUCAACCGAAUCAUCAUCAGCAUUAUUUGUUGUUUAAUUAUCGAAUUUAAAUGUAGAAACAAAUGUAUCGAUCAAAACAAACCGACAACAACGACAACAGUAACAACAACAUAGCUUGAACAGAUUUGACCUGAUCGAUCAAUCGAUCGUUUGAUCGAUUCAUUCCAUUCCUUUAACACACAACAUUACGAUCUGACAAAAUAACAACAACAACAAACCAAAAUGAACCGAUUAAAUCUCAUCAUCAUUAUCGUUCCGAUAACAAAUUGUUUGUUUGGCCGGCUUUAGGUUUUUCUCUGUUUCAAAAUCUCAUACUUGCAAUCACAUUGAUGAUGUGAACAUCAAUUACAACAACAACUAUCGAGAUUCAGGACGCCACAAAUGAAGCUUUUUCUUUGGUGCGAAUGUGGUGUUGUUUUUUUUGUCUAUUCAAACUACGAAACAAACACAAAUAAUGAAUCCCUCACUUCUGAAACACGAAUGAUUACUUUAUUUCUCACUUAUGUUUUGCAUCGAUUUUUACCUUUGCUCUUGUGUGUCUGUUUGUGUUUAUAAUUAAUGAACUAAUUGUCAAGAUGGACGUUAUUUUGAAAAAUGAAGAGAAAAUACCAUUUUUACAAAACAACAAAUGAAAACAUCAAAUAGUAUUACAAAUUGGAAAAAUCUAACCAGAUGCCAAUAUUUUCGUCCAGAUUGUUACAAUUUUUUUCCUAUUAGAAUGAAUGAUUUGACUGACCACUCUCAAUUCAAAAUGGAAAUGGUUUGUCCAUGUUUUACCUGUGGCUAACUAAUAAUUGAUUUGUCCAUAGUUAAUGAUUCACGUGGCAUUUUGGAUUGAAAGGUUCAACAUUUGAAAAUCAUUUAUCGAAUUAAUCAAUAAAUUGAUGAACUAAUCAAAUUCAGACUUUAAUCCUCUCAUCAACAUGAUCAUUAAUGGACCAAAAUGCAAAAAAAACAUUUCGUAUCAUUAUCGUCGUCAUUUGGUGAGAAUUUGAGGAAUUCUUGCGAAAAAAACUUUUUCAAACAUUAAUUUUCAUCUUACAAAGAAUCCAUGCACAAACAACGACAACAAAUAACAUUAAUAGCCAUCAUGAAUUGAUAAUUAUCAUUUCAAUGAAGAAUUGAUCAUCCAUUUUCAAUUUACGGAAAAAGUAUCGAUACGCGAUCAUCAUCAUCAUUAUCGUGAUCAUUAUUUAAUUGUAUUAUUUUCGUCAGACAAACAAAUAAACACGAGAGACAUUCCAUAGUCUCGAUAUCCAAUAAAUCGAUCCUCAUCAUCAUCAUUAUUUCAUUCGAUCUUAAUGGACGAGAGAAAAUGGAAAGAAAAUUCCUCGUUUUUGUCAUUUCAAUUGAUUUAUCUUGUCUAUUUAUCUAUUACUAUUCGGUCUGGUUGCGAAUUCCGUAGACCUUGAAAAUAAUUACAUCAUCAUCAUCAUCAUCAUCGUGAAUGCAUUAAAAACAUGAAAAAUUCCUAACGAAUCAAUUUCAUUUAGCCUGAUGAUGAUUAAAUUGAAGAAUUUCGUUCAACAAUCAUUACAUUGGAAUUUCGAAAAACUUAUAACGAUGGUCAAGGUGAAACCCGUUUUCAACAUUGACUGACUGACUGACCGAUUGAUUAAUUGAUUGAUUGAAUGGUUGAAUGUGGAAACAGAUUGACCAAACCAAAUGAUGAUGAUGGCAUGCGACCAGAUUCAAUCAUCGUGUG
Molecule: long non-coding RNA, 2873 nt
Organism: Dermatophagoides farinae (American house dust mite)
Lineage: Eukaryota; Metazoa; Arthropoda; Arachnida; Sarcoptiformes; Pyroglyphidae
Source: RefSeq, a predicted model, not a curated record